GUGCUCGCUUCGGCAGCACAUAUACUGAAAUUGAAACAUACAGAGAAGAUUAGCAUGGCCCCUGCGUCAAAGAUGACACGCAAAUUCAUCCGUUCCAUAUAUUUUUU
Small nuclear RNA from Sceloporus undulatus (fence lizard), 107 nucleotides. Lineage: Eukaryota; Metazoa; Chordata; Lepidosauria; Squamata; Phrynosomatidae. The record is from RefSeq and is a predicted model, not a curated record.